Molecule: ribosomal RNA, 416 nt
Filed under: Candidatus Nomurabacteria bacterium
Lineage: Bacteria; Candidatus Nomuraibacteriota
Description: partial 23S ribosomal RNA
Rfam family: Bacterial large subunit ribosomal RNA
Source: RNAcentral
GUUUGGCACCUCGAUGUCGGCUCAUCGCAUCCUGGGGCUGGAGCAGGUCCCAAGGGUUUGGCUGUUCGCCAAUUAAAGCGGUACGCGAGCUGGGUUCAGAACGUCGUGAGACAGUUCGGUCCCUAUCUGCCGUAGGUGUUGGAGAAGUGAGAAGAUCUGUCCUUAGUACGAGAGGACCGGGAUGGACGGACCGCUAGUGUGCCAGUUAUCACGCCAGUGGUACAAGCUGGGUAGCUAUGUCCGGAAAAGAUAACCGCUGAAAGCAUCUAAGUGGGAAACUUACUUCAAAACAACUUCUCCCAGGGCGUUAAGCCCUCUUAAAGUCCCGUUGUAGACUACAACGUUGAUAGGGUGGGUGUGUAAGUGUAGCAAUACAUUCAGCUAACCACUCCUAAUAGGACGGGAGGCUUAUCUUU